RNAcentral lists this long non-coding RNA (6913 nucleotides) under Sus scrofa (pig). RNAcentral's name for it is "lncRNA (ENSSSCG00060046339.1)". Lineage: Eukaryota; Metazoa; Chordata; Mammalia; Artiodactyla; Suidae. The record is from RNAcentral.
AUUGGGUGAGAAGUACUGGCUCUGGUCGGCCCAUGAGGUAGAGUGUCUCUGGUAAAGUCUUCCAGGAAGUUGUGGUCCCUUGCUGGGGCUGGGAGGAUGCCACUCGACAUCUUCAAGCCUGUGUAUGUAGCAGCUGAGCAUCUGACUAGAGCUUCUGUCCAAGGACCAGACUUCAUGGUGGCAAACGACUCCAGUUUCCCCAGAGAAGGGUGACUGAUGGGUGGAUCUCUCAAGGUGGCCAAGGGCUUGGAUGUCUGCCAUGACUUUCCAACUGUCUGGUCCAGUCUUCCCAGUUUUGCCAGAGCUGGUGAGGUGAGUGAGCACCAAUGCUGGUCUGGAUUUGGGGAGGGCAGAUGACUUCGUUUGAUGCUUGACUUGCUCAAGGAUCAGCAUGGAGAUCAAUGCCUGCAUCUUCUGUGAUGUAGUGAACACGAUUAAAACAGGAUGGAUAGAUGUUCACCAGACUCUUUCUAGAGCUGAACCGGGGAUUUACCCUCAGUAUCCUGCUUCUAGGUAGUGUGAGCCCACCCUGACUCUCCAAAGUCCUGACGUCCUACAAGGUCUCAAAAUACAAGGACCAUGUCAGCCUCCGCCUGGUUUGCUCUCCUGGCCCCAGUGCCCGGCAACCUUUCAUUCGUUGGCAUUCACUGUGUUCUGCGAGCAUGAGGGAUGUAGCAAAUGUUGGAGAGGAGUGACGUCAUUCUUGUUUCUGGUUGAUGCUACUUUAGGGGCAGGUUUGUGGAGCCUGAAACAUACUUUAAGUGUGUGAAGGGGGUCUUCUUUAAUGUAAAAAAAUACAAAAUGACAAAUUAGGUUUGAAGAUAAUUGUUUAUUUGGAAUGAGUAAAGAAACUGUACCAAAUGACCAGAAGCUUAGAGGUUCAGGGCCCUUCUUUCCAAGUUCUUUGUUUGCCGGAAAUGCUUUCUGAGGAAUGUUUCCUUUGUCUCAGCUGGCUUUCCUUCUGCAUUUAGAGCUCCCUGAAAGUCCCAGAAAUUCCCAGAGCUACAGAGCCUAUGCAUGUAAAGGGCCCCAAACUGAAACCUUCAUUAGCUUCCCAGUAAUCCUGCCUCUGAUGAUUUCACUGGUUACUUCUUGACAACCUGAGAAUUCCUAGAAAGAAGAGGGAUGGGAAUGAGAGGAAAGAGAAAGAUAAGGCUCUUGACCAAGUAAGCCAUGGGUUUUCAUAAAUUCUAGAAACAAUCAGGGACCUCAACUAGACUAUAGCCUGGAAGUGUUGUGACCCUUGCUACUGUGUCAAGCCUCAGUAUAUGUAGAGUUGAAUCCAUUCCCAGGCUCCAUGCUCUACUUGGUGGCAGUCAGGGGGAUAAGGUCAGGUCAAUUGUCCUUUCUCUCUUUCUCUUCCUCCUUGUCCUGUUUUCUCUGGUCUCAGAGAGGGGAGCAAGGUAUGAGCAGCCAAGUCCUUUGUUUCUCUUCCAAAACCUAAAAACAAGUUCUUAUAUAUAGGAGCACAUGUUAGUCAUGUUUUCUUUUGUCUUCUUGGGUCUCUUUGAUUCCCUUAUAGAUAUUUAAGACCAUAUUUGCAUCGUAGCUCAGACCUAAGUCUUGUUGAUAUCAUUUCUAAGAGAAAAGAUCUUUUUUAAAAACGGAUAUACCAAAGUUUAAUUAUUCCGUGUUAUACAUAUUUAUCAGUUUCCAACCUUUUAUUAUUACAAGAACUCUAGCAUGAAUAUCUUUUAAUGUAAAUUGAUAUGGGCAUCUCCAGUUCUUUCCUUAGGAUGGAGUUUAGGCAGUCAAAGGGUAUGAAACUUUUCAAACUCUGGAUCCAUUCUGCUCUUUGGCCACAACACCCAAAGAUGUUUAAAUGCAGUCAUGUGGAUCACGUGACUCCAGUAAAUGAGUUUGGCUUUGUGGAAAGAGUAUGACGGAGGGUUGGGAUAGACAGGAGCCCUCCAGAGAGUAAAUGCUAUUUAAGGGGCCCACGGAGAGUGAAGGAUGGCCCAUGUCGCUGUAACACGGGGGAUUAUGAUGAUGUAACAUAAGAGAGGUAAAAGGUGGGGGGUGCCAUCAGAAUCCCAGAAGGGGAAAGAGAACAUGAGGUUAUCCUCUUCAUGCAAGGGGUGGCGAACUUCACGGAGCUUCAGGAAGAGGUGGGAUUUCCACAGGCCUGGAUGGGCUGGGGGAGUAGGAGAAAGGAAAGCUUUCCAGGAGCAAAGCAGGGAAUCAGGAGCGUGUGGGGCAUGUUUAAGGGAAAAGUGACUGUAUAGUUUUGCUGGAAUGUGAGAGAAUAUGUUGGGAAACAUUUUGUAAUAGACCAGAAAGGAUAAAUUAGGUACAAAUUAUGAAUGUCCUUGAAUCUUGGGCUUAAUAGUUGAUAUGAAAGAGAAUGUGAGGUACUGAGGAAAUCACAGCACUUGGCGGGGAAAGAGCUGAGUUAGGUUAUAACGUAAUUUACUAGAGGACUAACUCUCAGAAAAACUUUAAACAAUGGAGGCUGCCCAAAGAAUCGUGGACUGAUGUCUGAGCCAGUGGUCGCUGGAUUAUGAUGAGGUUCAGAAUAAUGGUGCUCAGUCAUUAAUUCUUGCAAGAAAUGCUCACCCAGUGCCUAGGUCCUAGCGAGGCCGAGGAAACCAGGCAUGUAGAGCUCUGUUCUCCAAGAGUGGACGUGUUGGUGCAGACACCCAGAGAAGACAGGCGUAGUCUAGCCUAAAGGAAAGAAGAUAAUUUCAGAUAGUGAUAAUGACUGUGAAGGGAAAAGAACAGACACUUGGGUAAAGAAUAAGGAGACAGGUAGAAAAGUUGGAUUUUUUGUACUUUAGAUGUGGCAGUUAGGGAAGGCUUCCUGGAGGAGUGAACAGUUGAUGAAAACAAGCCGGAAAGGUGAAGACCUGGGGACUAGAGUUCCAGGCAGUGGUAAGAGGAAGCCCAUCCACGGGGAUCAGAGGGACGGCCAGUGUGGUCAGGGGAUGGGGGAGUCUUUGCAUUGUCAGGAUAGAUGGUAUAGGGCUGUGUGGUCUAGGGAAGCGUUCGUUCUUGAUUCGAAGGGUGAUGGGAAGCCCUGGCUGGCUUAAAGCAGGGGCAGGGCCUAGUUUAUCCUGUGGGAAAAGCAUUGUGGUAGAACAGGAAUGAAAAGGGAGAGACUAGCUCGGGGACCAUUGGGGCAAUUUAGACAAACAAUAGUGGUGGUUCGGGCAGGGUGGUUGUUGGGAGACAGAAACACAUGGUUGGAUCUGGACUAUUUGGAGUGUUAUCGGGAACUUGCUGUUAGAGUAGAUGUGACCGUAGAUAAAAUGCAGAGUGGAAACGCUUUGUACUCUGAGAGCCCUGUAUACACAUGAAGGCGUCACGCAGCCUGUGGUCCUUGGGGAAAGCUGACGGUUUGGAGCUUGGCCGUGCCUGGAAAUGGCCUCCAGCCAGGUAAUCCGGCCAUCGGGGCUCCAGGAGAACCGUUGGAGCCCAGGAAGGAGGGCUCAGGCAGCCCCGCGCGUCUCAGCUUCCACGGGCACACAGAUCACCUGGGGAUCCCUAAGGUGCAGAUUCGGCUCCGUAGAUCAAGGGUAAGACCCAGAAUUCUGCUCCCGGGUGGGGCCACAGCUGCUGGUCUGCGGGUCAUGCUUCCAGAAGCAAAGAGUUCAGGGGAGUCAUUGAGGUCACAUUCCUGUCACGAGGGCUUGAACUGGGGAGGGAGUGGGGAUAUGGAGAAGAGAGCUCUUUCUUUUAUAAUACAGACUGCAAAACAAAGGGGAGGCAUGAAAAAAUGAAGUUUGGAGUCACGGUAACCAAGAAACGAUGGUCCGUAGUAGGUACUGGAAGCAGGAGGAGGUUUGGGGAGGGGAGGAGGAUGGAUUUUCUAAUCCCCACUAUUUUUUCUUGGGCUGUAGCCGGGGGUCUGACUUGAGCACUUGGGUGGGAAACCCUCUUGACCUAUUCAGCCUUGUCUGCGAAGAUGAUGAGCCAAAGGUUUCACUCUCGACGGCUGUGUAUCACACUUGAGCACCCAGAGACCUCAUAUAUUUGAAGGGAAGGAGGAGGGGGACCUUCAUACCACGUAAUUCAGUUGGGAUCUGAACCUGUACAUCACCUUGGACAUCAAGAAGGGCUGUGUUUCCUUGGACCGUAAAGCCUCAGUCCCUGCCUGUUUACUGCUGCGUGUUCUUGAGGCCAGUCCCCCUCCCCACCCCAUCUCCCGCACGUGAUGUGCUGCUAUCUUCAGAUAUUAAUACCAUGGGGCCAAGGAGGAGGACUCGUGCAUCCGUGUGAUAUGAAUAAUAGUAACAACAGUCCACGUUACUGAACUCUUACGUACCAAGCACUGUGCUGCACAUUUUACAGUUUUCAGAACUCAUUCAUUUUAUUCUGAGCACAAAGCCUCCGUGGGGCAAUGGGGUCUGAGACAGCAGGGAUGUCUGGCCUGAUAAUAAACAUCCCAGGUUUUAUGGGUGAAAAAUAGGAGUGUGGGAAAGAUGAUCUUUUAAAGAAAAGAAAAUGCUUUCCAGAAUGGCCCUUGGAGAUGCUUGGAGCAGCCUGGGUACUUUGUGUGCUGAGAUAGAACCUGAGGUUGAGAAAUGUGCUCGGGGCCAGCAGGACCCGCCUCGGUUUGGCUGGGAAGAUGUAGUCACUGGAUGUCUGAGAUAUUACGCAACGUGACAAGAAGGCCAGGCACGAGCUCUCCAUAGGAAUUAUUUCAUCCCUACGGUUUGGGUGUCAAAUAUCCUCCUGGGCCCCUGGGGACCGGAGCUUCCAGGCGGCGUGUGUGGCCGCGCCUGGCGCUCCAGAACCCCCCUCACGCGUGGGGUGACAUCGCCACUAGUGACCCUCGUCCGAGGGUUUUUCAGCCCAACGGCCCCUCCUCACAGGCUGUGCCAACACGUUCCUAUUUUAAGAUUCUUUAGUUGUAAGAAGUGGUGUAUUUCUCCCCACGUCGUCCCGUCCCGGCCAAGCCAGGGCGACUCCCUUUGCUGGUCUCCCAUCUUCUCUCACUUCUGGUCCUGAACUGCUGAACCCAGAGAGGGCUGCCUCCCGGGGCGGGUGGCAGGGUGACGUCAGCCAGGAGGCAGUUCCUCGGCUAAGGGAGCCAAGUCCGCAGACACGAUCUCGGAAGUAGGACAAGUACAUUUUGUUUCUGCGAUUCAACCCAGAGAACUUCUUGGUCCCGGAAGCCUGUGCCAAAUGUGUUUGCGCAACCUCGGGAAGCCGCUUCCAGAAUGCGGGUGAAGAACUUGCCAGGGUUCCAUUUCUUUGGGGAGCGAACAUCCACACAGGGCAGGACUGGUGCUGGCCCAACAUGUCAGCGGGAACCGGGGGCUCAGACCUCAGGGGGGCGAGGGUCCUGCGAGAGGGUCUCCUGCCCAGGCUACACACGAGACCUGGCCGCCGUGCUCCCCGCAGUGGGAACAUGUGGCCACGGGAACGUUGAGAUGAGUGGGCCAGGCUGUGGUUCCAUUUUGAUUUGGCUAAGGGUGUGCUAUGCAAUGGAAAGGAGCACCAAAAGCUACCAAUUUGGCUGCUGCCUCUGAACAUUUGCUCUGCAUUCCUGAAUCCUCCCAGUUAAAGAGAACUUCCUUGCAAUUCUUUCCCCCUAGGCAAUGGGACAAGAACACACACACACACACACACACACACACACACACACACACACGAGUUAAAACCCUUUGGAAAUGAAGGUCAGCUAUUGCACAUGUACCCGUGUUCAUGUGAGUCUAUGGAGAGAAAUAAAGGACUGUAAAAAUGUGCGUGCACAUAAAAAUGACCAACAUUUUUUGGGCUAAUGUUGGUGUCUUUCAAAGGCCGAUCUUACAAUAAUAAACUCUUAGACUUUAUGGGGCUUUAGAGUUUCUAGAACAAUUUCACAUGUCUCCUCUGAUCAGGCCAGUGACUUUGUAAAAUAGGAGUUAGUUUCCUCUCCAGUUUAAAGAAAUGAAAGAUCAGAGAAGUUAAGUGACUUGCUCGAGAUUACACAGCAAUUAAUUUUGAGAGUCAGGAUGAAAAACCUGGGUCACUCCCGUCCAACCCCUCUACCAUAACGGCUCUCUAGACUUGACCUUGGAAAGACCAGAGGUUCAUUGGCAUGCGAUUCAUCUCUUUGCAGGACUAGAUGCUAGGCCUGGUGUUGCAGAGUGUGGUCUGAGGACCGGCCUCUCCUGGGAGCCUUGGAGAGCUGCAGAACUGCAGGACUGUCACAGAGCUUCAGGAUUGUCCUCUGGUGAUUUCUGCGCACAGUUGAGGUUGGGGUGCCCUGGAGGAGGCCGCUGGGUUUCAGUUUCAGCUCUGCCACACUCGGGGGUCCCCAAGUUCCAGAAGCGCAUAAGCCAGGGAGCUAAGGAGAAACCCCCUGCAUCUGGGCUGAGACCGAGACAGCGAUUUGCUUUGGAACACGCCCCCGGUGGUUCUCCUGGGCGGCGGGUUGGAGAGCCCUUGGAAUAGACGGUUUCUGAGAUUCUUUCCCUCCCGUGUGAGUCAGAGAGCCUUGUCUGUAAGGAGUGGGCCUGGAUAUGCUUCGCCCCCACCAGGCUCUAUUUAUAUUCAGUUCGCAGGGAACCCGACCCUGUUCCUUCUGCCCAGAGGUUGCACCCCUGAAUCCUCCUUUUAUAAGCAUUUCUGAGGACACCAGUCCCUCUCUGUGGAAACUGUACCAACAGGUUGCUGUAUUUUGUUCCCUUCUUCUGCCCUGGAUCCUAGGCCCGGGAAAAGGAGUUAAAAUGUCCUUUUAACUUUAAAAGGGCCCCAGGCAUAAGGCACAAAGCAUCAUGGAGGGCCCGAGGCCCCGGGGGAGGAGGGCUUACCCACAGCUGGCUUUUCAGGUAUAGCUCUCCAAAAAGUCAGCCUAUUGCAAAUAGUAGCAGGAGUGCCAAGGAGAAAGUUCCAAGCAAGAUCUGGAUCCCAGGAAAAGCCUGGCUGUUGCUAGUAAGGCAUCAAGUGUCCCCAAGACACAUUUGUGUUCAAAAAGAAAAAAAAA